GCUGCCCCGCUGGGCGUUAUUCCGUUAUUCACUUCUCUGCUGAUACCUGCUAACGCAGGGCGGAAUGAAGCACCUGGAUAUCCGCAAGCCCAGCACCUGACACUGAGCUGGAGCUACUGGUGUUAGAAGAUACUGUGGACAGAUUAUGCGAGAGGCCAACGCGCUGUGAGGCUGCCCAGAAACCAAGAAACUAUACCCACGACUACGGCCGCUGUACCUAGACUCCCUUCAGAACCCCGAACUAAAGCUCUUCCAAAACCAACCCUGGGACUCUGCUCUUCAGUUACCUCCGUGUUAAGGCCCAUCCAACCAUGUACACAAGUUACCAGUAUGUAUUUCUGCAUUCUUUCGGGAACGAAGUGAAUGAACUUCAAUUAAGAAUAUCCAACAUUCUUAGAUACAAGCUCUAAUGUUCAAAGCCGAACUUUCUCUUACCCUUAUUUUCCCCAGUCAAGCCACUUCCAAUUUUAAUAACCAAACUACCCUCCCAUUCAUUCAAUAAAAUGUCGUUAUGCCAAACAUUGACAGAUGCAACCAAAAACGGUUCUAGUUCUCAGAAAGCUAUACUACUUCAGUUCUAAAUGUUUAGACGUAUUAUGAGCAAGUUGGAGAAAUAUCUGUAGCUAGACGAACAAUGGACCAGACCUGGAAUUUCAGUUGUGAUGAAAAAAACAAUGAAAUUUGAGGGACUGCAAUAACUAGAACCAACUCCUAGAUGUUAUACAAAAAACAACUGUCACAAUUUAUUGUAGUUCUGGUCUAGAAUGCAAGGGAUAUAGGGGCACAGUGCUGAAUCCAGGCUCUGAAGACUUCCAUGACAGAACCAUAUGAUUAAUUCAUGGUUCUACUUAAGGAUUAGAAAAGAAAACCAAGAUGAAAUUCAACUUACUGUGCCUAUCAACCGAAGGGAUAGAAAGCAGUUGUAGAAUACCACGUCAAUUGGGAACAUUACACUCAUUCUUUUUAACAUUUAUGGAUGGAUGGAACACAUCGGCAAGCCACCAAAACUGUGGAGUCAGAAGGCAACUUUUGGAGUUGUUUCUUUCCACCAUUUGGAUCCCAGGGGUCAAAGUAAGGUAGUCAGGCUUGUCUUGAAAUGGCUUUACCUGCGUGUCACUUCAUGGUCCUCUUAUCAACAACUUCAGAAUGAGUUUGGAGUUGGAGGGGUUUGGGAGUUAGCUAUUUCUGGACAAAGUAGUAAAAACUGAUUAUUUUCAAAACUGUGGGAUUGGAUGAGGUCAUCUAACCAAGGCCCAGAACAAAAACAGUGGUACUAGAAAAUCUCUGAAAUUCAUUCACCACUAUCCUGUUUGCUGCAAACAAUUCUCAAGAGUAGAUGAUGCCAUAUCAAAAAAAUGUGCCCUCUAGAUUUUGACCCAUCAAACUUUUGUUCUCAAACAUUACAGUGAGGAUCUUUUAAAUGGCAGCUUAUUGGAUGGCUCACUAUCUCCACUCCCAAACAAUAAUAAACUAUUUAAAAACAUUUAAUGUCUCCCAAAUACUGACAAAAACUAAACAUUAAAGAAAGCUGCCCCGCCCCUUCCCCCAGCCUGAUCUUGCUAAUUCGUAAACCAGACAGCAGUCCCUGGAGCUUUUUAUCGCCCUAUUCCUCAUCCAUCUUAGUUCAAUUAUCUUUCCAUUGUCUUUCCUGAUCAUUUUAAGCAGGUCACAUUGUCAUGGCCUUCACAUUCAUAUUAACUACACUAUUCCAUCAUGCAAUUUACUGUACUUUUGAGUCACAACAUCAGUGGCUCUGACUGGUUACUUUUGUUACCACUGAAUGGCUAGCAGAGGACACCCAAAGUAAGUCCAGGCUAUCUCCCUAAUAGAAACAUAGAACUGAGAGGAAGCUAGUAUUUACAAAUAUAUUGCUGCCUUUGGUGGAUUAGAGACAAACUUGCUUGUUCUUUCAAUGGCAAUAGUGAAGGGGAGAACGGGAGGCUGCUGCACAGACUGGUUAAGCUUCAGAAUAGGUUGUUUCUAGCAGUGAAGACUGAGUCUAACUUGCUUCUUUUAAAAGAUGAGACUUGCCGGGCGUGGUGGCGCACGCCUGUAGUCCCAGCACUUGGGAGGCAGAGGCAGGCAGAUCUCUGAGUUCAAGGUCAGCCUGGUUCUACAUAGUGAGUUCCAGGCCAGCUGAGGAUGCAGGGACCCUGUCUCAAAAAAAGAAAAAGAUCAGACUCAUAUUUAAGUCUUUUCUUCUCUCACAAGAAGCAUUUAAGAGUUUUGGUAUAUGUAACAGACAAAAACUUUGCUCAAAGACAAUGAGGAAUCAAGUUUUCAUAUAAUUUAAUCUAACAAUUUAAAACAUUAUUCAUCUUUUUCCAGUGUCUAUAGAAUUCAAAAGAGGAAAGGGUUAUCUAAGAGGAGCUUUUAUUUCAUUUUGAGGGGAGUUUUCCCCACUUCAAUAACUCCAUAAAAAGGACAAGCUCAAGGACAAUACUGAUUCUUUGCAGCAUAACUUUUAUAGUCAAUAAAACUAAGAUUACUUAAGAACUCAAGUGGAAUACAGAUCGAGGAGCUUAAGGUUGAAAUGAAAAUGAAUUCAGUGUUUAUUUACACCUAUUUCACUUCAUUAGAUGUACCGUGGUAAAUAUAAUGAAUAUAAACUGCCUAGCACACACAGGAUUGCUGCUCAACUAUAUUCUACAUUUUAUGAACUGGUUGUCAGCUAAGCACCUUAGUUAGUGAACCUGAGAAUAAGCACACAUUCUCAUGUCUUCUAUAUGCCCCUAUAAAACAGCUGUGUGUGUUUUGUGUGUGUGUGUUCUGUGUGUUGUGUGUGUAGAUAAAAGAACUACAGAAGUUAAUUUGCUAAAAUCAUUAAAAGGUCAUGUUUUAAUAUCAAGAUACACUGAUCAAAGGGGGGGGGACUUUUCUCUAUUCUUUAGAAUAUUUAGGACCUGGUAAUAAAAUGACCCUUACCAAAGAAAUCAAUGACAUGCUACCUUUAUGAAAGCUUUUUUUAAAAAGUUUCAUUAUACAUAGAUGACUGGUAAUUGCACAUGUACAAAAGUAUUUUAUAUGUUGUCUUGCUACACUGAAACAUGUAUGACAAUCAUUUCCUUGUGCCUCUGCUAAAAUACGCAUUGGACCAAAAAAAAAGGCCUUCUGCAUCUAAGACAAGCAUUUACAUAUUAUACAGAAUACUGAGAACCAAGAUUCAGAUCUCAACAGAACUACUUUAGUUCUCUGCCCAGUGAGACAUUCCUUUAAAAACCAUGGUUUGAAUUGAGACAUACAUUUAAACUGUGAUGGAAGAAUGUUGCCUAAUUAUGUUUUGAAAAAAAACAAAUAAUGCUUUUAAGAAUUACAGAUGUAUUCAAACUACGAACACCUUUUACAUUCAUAUCUGCACUAAAGCACAGAAAUCUGAAACGCAGAAAGCAUUCUCCACAUCCUGUCUCUGAACUGUUAUUGAAUACUGCAUGAAUAACUUAUUUUACUUCAAUUUUGAUUUUUAAACACGAAUUUUCUACACAGCAAAUUUAGUUCUCGAGUACACAUCAUCUUGGGAUUAUUCAAUAAGCCACGAAUAUUUUAUCCAUCCCCUAAAAUACAGCUAACAUAUGGUUGUGGUACAUCCCAGGCAGAUGGCAUUUAAAGCACACAAGGGGAGGUGUGCUGGCAAAACACUCUCGGCAAAAGUAAACAAAAAACCCUUCCAAUAUGAUGUACCACAACCACACAUGAGAAAAGUCAAGAACUUAUUUUAUUUAUUUUAAAAUAAACAUUGAAGUUCCCCCAUUACCCACCACCCUACAAAACUUUUGAAUGUGGAAUGUUCAACAGCCUAUCAAUUUUAGUAGGUUACAAAACCAACAAAAACUCCAGUUGUCUUAAUGAUGAAUGUUUGAGAAAAAUUUCACUUUUGUUUUUAAGUAGCUGAACACCUGCUGGAAAAAAUUCCUUUGCUAAAGGCUAAAAGUAAAAUUUAAUUUCUAUACAUAAAAUACCAUUAACUUAGUAGCCUUUGCUUAACAGGUGGGAUUAAUUCUCCAUGAAUUCAAAAUGGAAUGGGACAACAAGCAGCAUUAAGUUCAUAGGCACACAGAACUAGUGCUCAAACUGCUAGCACAAUUUCCAACACAGAACAUAUGGCUAAGUCACUACCAAACUUUCCAUCUCCAUCAAACUGGACACUUUCCCUAUGUAUCUAAGGCAAAGAAUCUCCACUUUGAAUGUAAAUGCCUCCAUGAGAAAAGGAGAAUUCAAUUAGGGUUAAACUAGACAAAAAGUAAAUGAAUACUACAGAAAUAGCUGCUGGACAUAACCAUAAAAUCUGUGACACUAACAAUGGGUGGGCUGAAUCACAGAAGCUGCUAGCUGUUGAACACCAGUGUUUCAAGAUACAACUUUUAUAAACACGUUUUAUUUGUUUUGCUUAUACCAUCAGAACUGAAGCUGCUGUCUGUCGUUUCCCUAAAACAGGGAAAUCGAUCUAAAACACAUACUGGUGCUUUUCAAAAGAUAGCAAUUUAGAAGGGUGGUAGCAGCAGGCAUUGGGUAUCUUUUUCUUUAAAGAACUUUCAGGCUGCAGGAAAAUCAUGUGACCAAAGUGUUAUGAUUAUCCAUUAGAUUUUCAUCGGUACCUGUACCAAUUUAGGGAAUACAGCAAGAUCCAAGUAUUAGUGAUGACAAUGCACAUAUCAUGAGGGAUGACAGUGUCAAUCCUCAUGUAAGUCACUGUUUCAAAGAAACUG
Molecule: long non-coding RNA, 4703 nt
Organism: Nannospalax galili (Upper Galilee mountains blind mole rat)
Lineage: Eukaryota; Metazoa; Chordata; Mammalia; Rodentia; Spalacidae
Exons: 2
Source: RefSeq, a predicted model, not a curated record